AGUGAAUAGAUACCCCGGUAGUCCACGCCGUAAACGAUGUCUGCUAGCCGUUGGGAUCCUUGAGGUCUCGGUGGCGCAGCUAACGCGAUAAGCAGACCGCCUGGGGAGUACGGCCGCAAGGUUAAAACUCAAAUGAAUUGACGGGGGCCCGGCACAAGCGGUGGAGCAUGUGGUUUAAUUCGAUGCAACGCGAAGAACCUUACCAGGUCUUGACAUCCAGAGAACUUUCCAGAGAUGGAUUGGUGCCUUCGGGAACUCUGAGACAGGUGCUGCAUGGCUGUCGUCAGCUCGUGUCGUGAGAUGUUGGGUUUAAGUCCCGUUAACGAGCGCAACCCUUGUCCUUAGUUGCCAGCGGUUCGGCCGGGCACUCUAGGGAGACUGCCGGUGACAAACC
This 394-nucleotide ribosomal RNA is filed under the name uncultured bacterium. RNAcentral describes it as "bacterial SSU rRNA". It matches the Rfam family "Bacterial small subunit ribosomal RNA", at positions 773 to 1164 of the family's 1533-position model. The record is from RNAcentral.